AAGAAAAAGUGUGAUUUUUCAAGGAAUCAAGUGUUUAAAGGUGGUGAGCUAUCUGAUACGGGUAAAAGACUACACCCGAGGAUCGAGAAUAGGAGUAUAUCUACUCCUAGUAUAGCUCAGAAUAGGCAAUAAACUGUCAAUUGCAUCGAUAAGUAAAUUUCGGAGUUGCAUCCUA
Molecule: small RNA, 175 nt
Filed under: Theobroma cacao (cacao)
Lineage: Eukaryota; Viridiplantae; Streptophyta; Magnoliopsida; Malvales; Malvaceae
Description: sRNA Tc06v2_g005480
Source: RNAcentral